Molecule: ribosomal RNA, 497 nt
Filed under: uncultured bacterium
Lineage: Bacteria
Description: partial 16S ribosomal RNA
Rfam family: Bacterial small subunit ribosomal RNA
Source: RNAcentral
GAUGAACGCUGGCGGCGUGCCUAAUACAUGCAAGUCGAGCGAACAGACGAGGAGCUUGCUCCUCUGACGUUAGCGGCGGACGGGUGAGUAACACGUGGAUAACCUACCUAUAAGACUGGGAUAACUUCGGGAAACCGGAGCUAAUACCGGAUAAUAUAUUGAACCGCAUGGUUCAAUAGUGAAAGACGGUUUUGCUGUCACUUAUAGAUGGAUCCGCGCCGCAUUAGCUAGUUGGUAAGGUAACGGCUUACCAAGGCAACGAUGCGUAGCCGACCUGAGAGGGUGAUCGGCCACACUGGAACUGAGACACGGUCCAUACUCCUACGGGAGGCAGCAGUAGGGAAUCUUCCGCAAUGGGCGAAAGCCUGACGGAGCAACGCCGCGUGAGUGAUGAAGGUCUUCGGAUCGUAAAACUCUGUUAUUAGGGAAGAACGAAUGUGUAAGUAACUAUGCACGUCUUGACGGUACCUAAUCAGAAAGCCACGGCUAACUACGUG